UGGGGAAUAUUGGACAAUGGGCGCAAGCCUGAUCCAGCAAUACCGCGUGUGUGAAGAAGGCCUGAGGGUUGUAAAGCACUUUUAAUCGGGAGGAACACCUGUCAGCUAAUACCUCGCAGUAUGACAUUACCGAUAGAAAAAGCACCGGCUAACUCCGUGCCAGCAGCCGCGGUAAUACGGAGGGUGCAAGCGUUAAUCGGAAUUACUGGGCGUAAAGCGUGCGUAGGCGGUUAUUUAAGUCAGAUGUGAAAGCCCCGGGCUUAACCUGGGAACUGCAUUUGAUACUGGGUAACUAGAGUUUAGUAGAGGAAAGUGGAAUUUCAGGUGUAGCGGUGAAAUGCGUAGAGAUCUGAAGGAACACCAGUGGCGAAGGCGACUUUCUGGACUAAAACCGACGCUGAGGUACGAAAGCGUGGGUAGCAAACAGGAUUAGAUACCCUGGUAGUCCACGCCGUAAACGAUGUCAACUAGCCGUUGGUCUUAUUCGUAAGAUUAGUGGCGCAGCUAAC
Molecule: ribosomal RNA, 509 nt
Filed under: uncultured Pseudomonadota bacterium
Lineage: Bacteria; Pseudomonadati; Pseudomonadota
Description: bacterial SSU rRNA
Rfam family: Bacterial small subunit ribosomal RNA
Source: RNAcentral